Molecule: long non-coding RNA, 241 nt
Organism: Chelonia mydas (Green sea turtle)
Lineage: Eukaryota; Metazoa; Chordata; Testudines; Cheloniidae
Exons: 3
Source: RefSeq, a predicted model, not a curated record
CCCAGAAUCGCCGAAGAGCUCCAGCAUGGACCGAAUGGGAGUUGCAGAUAGCUCACAGCAAGGAAGUGGAGAAACUGGUUUCCCCAACAGCCAGUAUCUGUUUAUCACCCUGGACCUGGACCCAGUGUCCCCCGAACCCACUCAUGGCGGGGUCCCGGACCCUGAAGGCGGAGAAGGGACCUCUGAGGCUAGCGAAGAUUAGAAGGCAAAAAAAACGCACUCGUGAUGAAAUGUUCUCUGA